GUUGGGUGGCUGAGGUGAUAAGGCGAUAGGUUGUAAACCUAUAAACGAACAGAAUUAGGUUCCCCAAUCAC
This 71-nucleotide transfer RNA is filed under the name Caridina gracilipes. Its description in RNAcentral is "tRNA-Tyr". The record is from RNAcentral. Lineage: Eukaryota; Metazoa; Arthropoda; Malacostraca; Decapoda; Atyidae.